RNAcentral lists this small nuclear RNA (161 nucleotides) under Anabas testudineus (climbing perch). Its description in RNAcentral is "U1 spliceosomal RNA (ENSATEG00000004621.2)". It matches the Rfam family "U1 spliceosomal RNA". Rfam says of the family: U1 is a small nuclear RNA (snRNA) component of the spliceosome (involved in pre-mRNA splicing). The record is from Rfam by way of RNAcentral. Lineage: Eukaryota; Metazoa; Chordata; Actinopteri; Anabantiformes; Anabantidae.
AAACUUAAUAAACGUCUAAAAAGUGAAAGUGAAAGUGGUUCACCCAGGGCGAGGCUCAGCCAUUGCACUCCGGCUGUGCUGACCCCUGCGAAUUCCCCAAAUGUGGGAAUCUCGACUGCAUAAUUUGUGGUAGUGGGGGACUGCGUUCGCGCUCUCCCCUG